Molecule: ribosomal RNA, 857 nt
Filed under: uncultured Caldisericota bacterium
Lineage: Bacteria; Pseudomonadati; Caldisericota
Description: bacterial SSU rRNA
Rfam family: Bacterial small subunit ribosomal RNA
Source: RNAcentral
CGCGGUAAUACGUAGGGGGCAAGCGUUAUCCGGAAUCACUGGGCGUAAAGGGUCCGCAGGUGUCCCGUUAAGUUAGAUGUUAAAUCGCAAGGCUCAACCUUGCGGCUGCAUCUAAUACUGACAGGAUAGAGGAUAGGUGACGGAAGUGGAAUUCCUGGUGGAGAGGUAAAAUCCGUAGAUAUCAGGAGGAACACCCGUGGCGUAGGCGGCUUCCGAACCUAUUCCUGACACUCAGGGACGAAAGCUAGGGGAGCAAACAGGAUUAGAUACCCUGGUAGUCCUAGCUGUAAACGAUGAAUACUAGAUAGUGGGUGCUACACCGUACUCACCGUCGUAGCUAACGCGUUAAGUAUUUCGCCUGGGAACUACGAUCGCAAGUUUGAAACUCAAAGGAAUUGACGGGUCCCCGCACAAGCAGCGAGGCAUGUGGCUUAAUUCGAUGCAACACGAAGAACCUUACCUGGACUUGACAUGUUUCUGAAAGGCCGGAGAAACCCGGUCCCUUCCAGUUUACUGGAACAGUUUCACAGGUGGUGCAUGGUUGUCGUCAGCUCGUGUCGUGAGAUGUAAGGUUAAGUCCUUAAACGAGCGUAACCUUUGUCAUUAGUUGCCACCGGUUCGGCCGAGCACUCUAAUGAGACCGCUAGCGACAAGCUAGAGGAAGAUGGAGAUGACGUCAAAUCCUCACGUCCCUUAUGUCCAGGGCCGCACACAUGCGACAAUGGUAGAGACAGCGGGUUGCGACGGGGUAACCCUGAGCUAAUCCAUAAACUCUGCCUCAGUACAGAUCGAGGGCUGAAAUUCGACCUCGUGAAGAUGGAGUUGCUAGUAAACGCAGGUCAGCUAUACUGCGUUGA